Molecule: long non-coding RNA, 506 nt
Organism: Parus major (Great Tit)
Lineage: Eukaryota; Metazoa; Chordata; Aves; Passeriformes; Paridae
Exons: 3
Source: RefSeq, a predicted model, not a curated record
CAGGAGAAGUUCUUCAAACCGCUUCACAUAAAGAAACUAAGCUGUGCACAUAAUAAUGCUGAAAUAUUUAUUCAUGAACUAAAAAAUAUUUCCACACGGACAUGCAUGAGAAAAGUGGAGAAAGAUAUGCAAAAGCUAGAAAAAAUCUGCUACAUUUUGAAGAAAUCUUCAUCCAACGGCAAAAGCUGCUUAAAGAAGGCAAAAACCAAUUUCUCACAAUUUAAAGAGAGUCUGCAAGAAUUCCUGAGAUGGGUCAAUGAGAAGCUCAACUGCAGCAGCAUUGGGAGAAGCAAUUCAGCUUUGUACCUGGAUGGAAAAUGCAGCUGCCACGACCCCUGGAAAUCCCACAGAGCCUUGGGCUAGGGAAGAGCUACACAGGCAGUGAGGGUCUGGCUGGGAAGGGGAGGGGGAGAUGUGGCUGUUAUAAAAUAGAGUCUUUGCUAAUUAAUGGAAAUAUUCUGAUGCUAAUUAAUGUUAAAUUUUGAUGGCUGAUGCAAGGAGGCAAA